This 200-nucleotide ribosomal RNA is filed under the name uncultured bacterium. Its description in RNAcentral is "partial 16S ribosomal RNA". It matches the Rfam family "Bacterial small subunit ribosomal RNA", at positions 1300 to 1500 of the family's 1533-position model. The record is from RNAcentral.
GCAGGCUGAAAUUCGCCUGCAUGAAGCCGGAAUUGCUAGUAAUGGCAGGUCAGCAUACUGCCGUGAAUACGUUCCCGGGCCUUGUACACACGCCCGUCACACCAUGAGAGUUGGGGAUACCCAAAGCCCGUGAGCCAACUUUAAAGAGGCAGCGGUCUAAGGUAGAAUCAAUGAUUGGGGUGAAGUCGUAACAAGGUAGC